UAUUGGGUUGGUGCAAAAGUAUUUGUGGGUUUUGUCAUAGAAAGUAAUGGCAAAAACUGCAGUUACUUGUGCAUCAACCUAAUGCU
MicroRNA precursor from Nomascus leucogenys (northern white-cheeked gibbon), 86 nucleotides. The record is from Ensembl. NCBI's taxonomy places the organism in Eukaryota, Metazoa, Chordata, Mammalia, Primates, Hylobatidae.